Long non-coding RNA from Poecilia latipinna (sailfin molly), 1415 nucleotides. RefSeq lists it as uncharacterized. NCBI's taxonomy places the organism in Eukaryota, Metazoa, Chordata, Actinopteri, Cyprinodontiformes, Poeciliidae. The record is from RefSeq and is a predicted model, not a curated record. The transcript has 2 exons.
UUUGUUGUCUGUGGUUCUUUAAUAUAGGUUCGAGAAAAAGUACCCAUCAUUUGGUGCCGAAAACCGGGAUCUCUCAACCCCCCGCUGUCAGGCAGAGGAAGACGCGCUGAAUCCGUGCACGGCCAGAGUCAACUGGACCUGGAAAGAAAGACCCAGGAAGCAAAAUUCUUCGCUGGGCCAGCGACACAUGUCCGACUUUGUCUGCCAACGGCGGAGUGACGAGAUCCGACUGGACAACCCGAAAACUACAGAAACGAGGCCGCUCCAAUCGAGCAAGGUGACUGGGUCUACAUAAAGGUCAUCAAACGAAAGAACUGGGCGAGUCCACGGUGGGAAGGACCGUUCCAGGUGCUGAUGACCACACCAACAGCUGUAAAGAUUGCUGAAAGACCCAGCUGGAUACAUCUCAGUCACUGCAAGCUGCAGAGAGUGUUGGAUCCCUAAUCCGGAGUAGAGAGGAAGGAGAGCUUUUAGAGCUUCCGGGAUACAAAGGGGUCCUACAUUUUAGUUGUAGUUCGUCUCAAACCCGGUGAAGAAACGCUAAGAUUCUCACUCCUUUAGUUUGGGGGUUCUGACAUCUCUGUACGCCGAGCAGCAAUGGAGACUCCAUAUGCCAGAUGGAUCUUCUACUGCGCUGUGACUGCAGCAUGUCUGAUGUUUGGAGAAGGAAGCGAGCCUGAGUUCCACCCGCAUGACAGCACCAAUCUGUGUGGAAGCUGAUGAACAGGACUGCUCACGAGGAGAACGAGGUGAACUGCUAUGUGUGUGCGCAGCUACCAAUCGCCACACACAACUCAGGUCUGCACCCAGGGAGCAUCACUGAUGACAAACAGAUGUGUCUCUAUGGCCUGAGCACACAACCACGACUCAGCGUCCCCGUGAAAAGAAGAAAAUGCAAAUGGUGCAAAAAGGAUUUUUCUGUUCUACUUCGGACAGGAGAUGCCACAAAAGGACUUUUUGGAUCUAUGAACUGUUCAUACACCUACUGCGACAGACACCGGAUCACAUCAACUACAUUGCCUGCAGGGGUCAAAGGGCGACUCCACACUGCAAAGUCUGGAAGGACAACCCAGACUGUGACAACCUGCUUCUGGAGAGGAGUUUCAACAUCACGCAUAAGAAAAAGAGGAGACAGGAAACAACACUGUGCAGCUCCAUAGUGCCAGGAGAUUAUGGCUCACGGAUGUUGGCAGACUGGUACUUCAUAUGCGGGAAUGAAGCGUACAUGUUCUUGCCAAAAAAUUGGGGAGGACUGUGUGCUGUGGUUCCUUUGAUCAACCCGAUUGCGUUCAUCAGGAAAGCACAGAAUGAUCUACACACCCGCUCCAAACGAACAGUUAUGUCAGAGGUCAAAAGAUGGGGAGGCCUAACAACACAUACUGGAGUUCCAUGGGAAUUCAGGAUUUGGAACGGCG